CCCUAUCAAACUUUACUUUAGUUUAACUGGGGCAGUUAAUUAAUAAAAAUUUUAAUAAAGAUUAAGUACUAAAUAGANNNCCCAACANUAGUUGAUUACANUGAACAAGUUACUGUAGGGAUAACAGCGUAAUAUAUAUCUAAAGUUCUUAUUUUGAUAUAAGUUUGCGACCUCGAUGUUGAAUUNAUAUUACUUUCAAGCGCAAGAGCCUGAAAAGUGGGUCUGUUCGACCCCUAAAUAUAUACAUGAUUUGAGUUCAAAUCGGUGUAAACCAGAUUGGUUUCUAUCUAUUNUUAUUUGUGUCUUAGUACGAAAGGACCUGAAACAAUAUUAUAUAAUNAUUUAUAUGGCAGAAAAAUGCUUUAGAUUUAGGAUCUAAUUAUAAUAGGUUAUCAUACUUUAUUUAACUUGCCUAAUCUCUGUUAUUAGAAUCCUUAUCGCAGUAGCUUUUUAUACCCUCCUAGAACGAAAAAUUCUAAGCUACAUCCAAA
This 491-nucleotide ribosomal RNA is filed under the name Sancus acoreensis. RNAcentral describes it as "partial 16S ribosomal RNA". The stretch from base 1 to 288 matches the Rfam family "Bacterial large subunit ribosomal RNA", at positions 2089 to 2642 of the family's 2925-position model. Lineage: Eukaryota; Metazoa; Arthropoda; Arachnida; Araneae; Tetragnathidae. The record is from RNAcentral.